GGACGAUUAGCUCAGUUGGUAGAGCAUCCGCUUGACGUGCGGAGGGUCAGGGAUUCGAGUUCCUUAUCGUCCACCA
Molecule: transfer RNA, 76 nt
Filed under: Oscillospiraceae bacterium
Lineage: Bacteria; Bacillati; Bacillota; Clostridia; Eubacteriales; Oscillospiraceae
Description: tRNA-Val
Rfam family: tRNA
About the family: Transfer RNA (tRNA) molecules are approximately 80 nucleotides in length. Their secondary structure includes four short double-helical elements and three loops (D, anti-codon, and T loops). Further hydrogen bonds mediate the characteristic L-shaped molecular structure. tRNAs have two regions of fundamental functional importance: the anti-codon, which is responsible for specific mRNA codon recognition, and the 3' end, to which the tRNAs corresponding amino acid is attached (by aminoacyl-tRNA synthetases). tRNAs cope with the degeneracy of the genetic code in two manners: having more than one tRNA (with a specific anti-codon) for a particular amino acid; and 'wobble' base-pairing, i.e. permitting non-standard base-pairing at the 3rd anti-codon position.
Source: RNAcentral